This 438-nucleotide ribosomal RNA is filed under the name uncultured bacterium. RNAcentral's name for it is "partial 16S ribosomal RNA". It matches the Rfam family "Bacterial small subunit ribosomal RNA", at positions 339 to 795 of the family's 1533-position model. The record is from RNAcentral.
CUACGGGUCGCUCCAGUGAGGAAUAUUGCACAAUGGGGGGAACCCUGAUGCAGCAACGCCGCGUGGAGGAUGACGCAUUUCGGUGUGUAAACUCCUUUUAUAUGUCAAGAAAAUGACGGUAGCAUAUGAAUAAGCACCGGCUAACUCCGUGCCAGCAGCCGCGGUAAUACGAGGGUGCAAGCGUUACUCGGAAUCACUGGGCGUAAAGGACGCGUAGGCGGGCUUGUAAGUCAGGUGUGAAAUCCUACAGCUUAACUGUAGAACUGCACUUGAAACUACGAGCCUAGAGUAUGGGAGGGGCAGAUGGAAUUAGUGGUGUAGGGGUAAAAUCCGUAGAUAUCACUAGGAAUACCUAAAGCGAAGGCGAUCUGCUGGAACAUAACUGACGCUAAGGCGUGAAAGCGUGGGGAGCAAACAGGAUUAGAUACCCGGGUAGUC